RNAcentral lists this ribosomal RNA (349 nucleotides) under Ehrlichia chaffeensis. RNAcentral describes it as "bacterial SSU rRNA". It matches the Rfam family "Bacterial small subunit ribosomal RNA", at positions 88 to 454 of the family's 1533-position model. The record is from RNAcentral. Lineage: Bacteria; Pseudomonadati; Pseudomonadota; Alphaproteobacteria; Rickettsiales; Anaplasmataceae.
AUUGUUAGUGGCAGACGGGUGAGUAAUGCGUAGGAAUCUACCUAGUAGUAUGGAAUAGCCAUUAGAAAUGAUGGGUAAUACUGUAUAAUCCCUGCGGGGGAAAGAUUUAUCGCUAUUAGAUGAGCCUACGUUAGAUUAGCUAGUUGGUAAGGUAAUGGCUUACCAAGGCUAUGAUCUAUAGCUGGUCUGAGAGGACGAUCAGCCACACUGGAACUGAGAUACGGUCCAGACUCCUACGGGAGGCAGCAGUGGGGAAUAUUGGACAAUGGGCGAAAGCCUGAUCCAGCUAUGCCGCGUGAGUGAAGAAGGCCUUCGGGUUGUAAAACUCUUUCAAUAGGGAAGAUAAUGA